UUGCUUUCUCAAGCGAGUGGCGAACGGGUGAGUAACGCGUGAGGAACCUGCCUCAAAGAGGGGGACAACAGUUGGAAACGACUGCUAAUACCGCAUAAGCCCACGGGUCGGCAUCGACCAGAGGGAAAAGGAGCAAUCCGCUUUGAGAUGGCCUCGCGUCCGAUUAGCUAGUUGGUGAGGUAACGGCCCACCAAGGCAACGAUCGGUAGCCGGACUGAGAGGUUGAACGGCCACAUUGGGACUGAGACACGGCCCAGACUCCUACGGGAGGCAGCAGUGGGGAAUAUUGCACAAUGGGGGAAACCCUGAUGCAGCGACGCCGCGUGGAGGAAGAAGGUCUUCGGAUUGUAAACUCCUGUUGUUGAGGAAGAUAAUGACGGUACUCAACAAGGAAGUGACGGCUAACUACGUGCCAGCAGCCGCGGUAAAACGUAGGUCACAAGCGUUGUCCGGAAUUACUGGGUGUAAAGGGAGCGCAGGCGGGAAGACAAGUUGGAAGUGAAAUCUAUGGGCUCAACCCAUAAACUGCUUUCAAAACUGUUUUUCUUGAGUAGUGCAGAGGUAGGCGGAAUUCCCGGUGUAGCGGUGGAAUGCGUAGAUAUCG
Molecule: ribosomal RNA, 604 nt
Filed under: uncultured Lachnospiraceae bacterium
Lineage: Bacteria; Bacillati; Bacillota; Clostridia; Lachnospirales; Lachnospiraceae
Description: bacterial SSU rRNA
Rfam family: Bacterial small subunit ribosomal RNA
Source: RNAcentral